GACGAACGUGGCCGGCGUGCCUAAUACAUGCAAGUAGAACGCUGAAGGAGGAGCUUGCUCUUCUGGAUGAGUUGCGAACGGGUGAGUAACGCGUAGGUAACCUGCCUGGUAGCGGGGGAUAACUAUUGGAAACGAUAGCUAAUACCGCAUAAUAGCAGUUGUUGCAUGACAUUUGCUUAAAAGGUGCAAUUGCAUCACUACCAGAUGGACCUGCGUUGUAUUAGCUAGUUGGUGGGGUAACGGCUCACCAAGGCGACGAUACAUAGCCGACCUGAGAGGGUGAUCGGCCACACUGGGACUGAGACACGGCCCAGACUCCUACGGGAGGCAGCAGUAGGGAAUCUUCGGCAAUGGACGGAAGUCUGACCGAGCAACGCCGCGUGAGUGAAGAAGGUUUUCGGAUCGUAAAGCUCUGUUGUAAGAGAAGAACGAGUGUGAGAGUGGAAAGUUCACACUGUGACGGUAUCUUACCAGAAAGGGACGGCUAACUACGUGCCAGCAGCCGCGGUAAUACGUAGGUCCCGAGCGUUGUCCGGAUUUAUUGGGCGUAAAGCGAGCGCAGGCGGUUAGAUAAGUCUGAAGUUAAAGGCUGUGGCUUAACCAUAGUACGCUUUGGAAACUGUUUAACUUGAGUGCAAGAGGGGAGAGUGGAAUUCCAUGUGUAGCGGUGAAAUGCGUAGAUAUAUGGAGGAACACCGGUGGCGAAAGCGGCUCUCUGGCUUGUAACUGACGCUGAGGCUCGAAAGCGUGGGGAGCAAACAGG
RNAcentral lists this ribosomal RNA (763 nucleotides) under uncultured Streptococcus sp. RNAcentral describes it as "bacterial SSU rRNA". It matches the Rfam family "Bacterial small subunit ribosomal RNA", at positions 28 to 776 of the family's 1533-position model. The record is from RNAcentral. Lineage: Bacteria; Bacillati; Bacillota; Bacilli; Lactobacillales; Streptococcaceae.